Molecule: ribosomal RNA, 1780 nt
Filed under: Ostreopsis cf. ovata
Lineage: Eukaryota; Dinophyceae; Peridiniales; Ostreopsidaceae
Description: SSU rRNA
Rfam family: Eukaryotic small subunit ribosomal RNA
Source: RNAcentral
ACCUGGUUGAUCCUGCCAGUAGUCAUAUGCUUGUCUCAAAGAUUAAGCCAUGCAUGUCUGAUUGCACAUCUCUUGCGCAUGAUAAACUGCAUAUGGCUCAUUAUAUCAAUUACCGUGCAUAUGUACUUUGCGGUACAUGGAUAGCAGGGGUAAUUCUACAUCUAAUACAUGCCCAAUGUAUGACUUAUUGGAAUACUGUGCUCUGCCACUUCAAAACCAUCCUGCAUCUGUAGGCUUUUUUGAAUGUAGCUGAGUGAACAAAUCUCAAAGAUCAUUUCGGAGAUUGAUCAUUGCAAUUUCUGACCUAUCAGCUUCUGAUGGUAAGGUAUUGGCUUACCAUGGCAAUGACGGGUGACGGGAGAUUAGGGUUUGAUUCCGGAGAGGGAGCUUGCAAAAUGGCUACCACAUCUAAGGAAGGCAGCAGGCGCGCAAAUUACCCAAUCCUGACACAGGGAGGUAGUGACAAGAAAUAACAAUACAAGGCAUCCAUGUCUUGUACUUGGAAUGAAUUGGGUGUACAACUUUCUCUUAGUAUCAAUUGGAGGGCAAGUCUGGUGCCAGCAGCCGCGGUAAUUCCAGCUCCAAUGGCAUAUAUUAAAGUUGUUGCAGUUGAAAAGCUCGUAGUUGAAUGUUUGCUAAUGAUGGCUGGUCCGCCCUUUGGGCGAGUAUCUGGCACACCAUUUGCACAUGCUUUGACUGAUGCCUGCACUUGAUUGUGUGGGGUUGUUCAAUGCACCUUUAUUUUGAAGAAAUUAAAGCGUUCUUGGCAGGCUAUUGCCAUGCAUGCACCAGCAUGGAAUAAUGAUGUCAUGAUUUAUUUUGUUGGUUUUUAAGUACAUGAGCAUUCAAAUAGGGAUAGUUGGGGGCAUUUGAAUUUUAUUGUCAGAGGUGAAAUUCUUGGAUUUAUAAACGUCAAACAAAGGCGAAAGCAUUUGCCAUGGAUGUUUUCACUGAUCAAGAACGAAAGUUAGGGGAUCGAAGACGAUCAGAUACCGUCCUAGUCCUAACCAUAAACUAUGCCACCUAGGAGUUGAAUGUUGUUACAUUGCUGAUAUGUGCAGUACCUGUGAGAAAUCAAAGUUUUUGGGUUCUGGGGGGAGUAUGGUCGCAAGGCUGAAACUUAAAGGAAUUGACGGAAGGGCACCACCAGGAGUGAAGCCUACGGCUUAAUUUGAUUCAACACGGGAAAAUUACCAGGACCAGACCUACCCGAGAUUGACAGAUUGAUAGGCUAUUUCUUGAUUUUAUGGGUGGUGGUGCAUGGCCGUUCUUAGUUGGUGGAAUGAUUUGUCUGGUUAAUUCCGUUAACGAACGAGACCUUACUUUGCUAAAUAAUUACAUGUACCUGUUGUUAUGUGGGCAAUUCCUUAGAAAGACUUUGUGUGCACAAUGCAAGGAAGUUUGAGGCAAUAACAGGUCUGUGAUGCCCUUAGAUGCUCUGGGCUGCACGCGCGCUACACUGAUGUGAGCAACAAGUAUAUUUCCUUGCCUGAAAUGGUGUGGCAACCUGGAAACUGCAUCGUGAUGGGGCCUGUUCAUUGUCAUUAUUGAUCUUAAACGAGGAAUUCCUAGUAAGCACAAAUCAUCAGUUUGUGCUGAUUAUGUCCCUGCCCUUUGUACACACCGCCCGUCGCUCCUACCGAUUGAGUGUUCCGGUGAAUAAUUUUGAUUGCUGUUUCUUUAGCAAUUGAUGUAACAUGUGAAACAUUUAAUGAACCUUACACUUAGAGGAAGGAGAAGUCGUAACAAGGUUUCUGUAGGUGAACCUGCAGAAGGAUCA